RNAcentral lists this unclassified non-coding RNA (240 nucleotides) under soil metagenome. RNAcentral describes it as "partial contains 5.8S ribosomal RNA, internal transcribed spacer 2, and large subunit ribosomal RNA". The record is from RNAcentral.
AACCAUUCUCACCUGCGGCUAGACCUGCGGAGGGAUCAUUAUUGAAUAAAUCUGACAUGGUUGUAGCUGGCUCUUAGGAGCAUGUGCACACCUGUCACCUUUAUCUUUCCACCUGUGAACCCUUUGUAGUCCCAGGAUAACCUCUCGCGCACUCUGGUGUUGCGGAUGCGAAGGUUGUUGUGCCUCUGGCCAGCUCCCAUCGAAUUUCCUGGGUCUAUGUUUCUUAUACACCCCUGUAUG